UUGAGUGCUUACUGCUAAGCCCUUUAAAUUAAUCUGGUGGACACCUAUUUGGUUAGCUGCCCACCUGUUCCUUCCAUCUACAUGGGUACCCUACCAUGUGGCCCUUGUAGGCCAUUCUAUACCAUGUGAUCCUGCUGGCCUGUUGAUUGGAUCAAUGAUGGUCACAUGAUCCAAGCUGGGCCAAUCAGUUCUUUCUCUUGGAAUCUGGAAUUGGAAUUAGGAGAACAUACAGUUCUUUCUCUCAGAAUCUGGAAUUUGAAUUAGGAGAACAUAUAGUUCUUUCUCUCUCUUUCUCUGUGUCUUUGGAUGACUGGGUUUGAAACACAGAAGAUAAACCAAGAAAGCUCAUCCAAAGAGAGAAAGUAAAGAAUUAACGAAAUGCACCAAGAGAAGCAGAGCCUUCAUCUCUCCAGCAAGGGAGUCUGGCCCUUGCAGUCUGCCCUGUCCCCCGUCAAGCUGCCAUGAAACGCCUGAGGUCUGACUUUCUGGAGCCCGACAGGGGCAAGUCUCUGCUCUUUGCUCUGAGUCCAGUUCCCACCCUGACAGAAGCCAGGCCGUGGUGAAGUCGCGCAUGCCCCAGAGACCCAAGUGCUUGAAGGUUGCCAAACACUUCAUGGUAUAACCAGAAAUGAGACUUCAAAUGCAAAUGGCCCAGGGAAGGAAGAUGCACAUUGCCUCACAUUCUCACUACAGUGUGGAUGACUGAUAUCUGACUCCUCCCAGAGAGCAAAUUUCUGAUGAGAAGCUGGGAAACCUGGUCUGAGUCAUGAGAGAGUUUCCUCCGUGAGAGCCCAGGCAGAAUCUCGUCUGUUCUCUGAGAUCAACACUUCCAGCACAAGGCUCCAAUUUUAGCUUAUUCUCUGAGCUUCUGUCCUGCUCCCCAGACCGGGAUGGCGUUGGCCUGAGUGUAUGUACCGGCUCUUUGUUUGAGUGUAUGUUUGUUGAGUGUAUGUUUGCCAGCUCUUUUCAGCUGGGCUCGUGACCUAGAAGAGGUGGCUCGAAUACUCACCCCUCUCAGCCCUAACCCAGGCCUAAGUAGCCAUCUCUCUUCUCAGUUCCAAGGCUGCCCCUACUCACAGCCCCCAAAUUCUAACCCUGUGCAUUUCUGGGAAUUCCUCCCCCUUCCAACACACCAGCCAGGAUGGUCCAGACCUCCUGAAACGCCUCUCCUCUCACCCCGCUUGAGCUGGUGUCCAAGAGCAUGUAGGUACCAUCUGUCCUCCCCCUCUUAUUCCAGCUCAGAAAACUGUCAUAGCUGGGAUAUCAGGAUAUGGUACCUGGUUUCCUCGUAAUAAUAAUAAUAAUCACUAGCAUUAGUUGAGCAUUUACUAUGUGCUAGACACUGUUCUGUGUCCUUUAUAUGUCCUAACUCAAUCCUUUUAUGAAAUAAGCACUAUAACCCUCAUUUUACAGAAGGAAGACUGAGGGACUGAAAGGUUAAGUAACUUGGCCAAGAGCACACAGCUAGCAAGU
Microcebus murinus (gray mouse lemur) is the source of this 1473-nucleotide non-coding RNA. The record is from RefSeq and is a predicted model, not a curated record. NCBI's taxonomy places the organism in Eukaryota, Metazoa, Chordata, Mammalia, Primates, Cheirogaleidae.